RNAcentral lists this small RNA (971 nucleotides) under Catocala moltrechti. RNAcentral describes it as "eukaryotic LSU rRNA". The stretch from base 652 to 971 matches the Rfam family "Eukaryotic large subunit ribosomal RNA", at positions 1 to 302 of the family's 3401-position model. The record is from RNAcentral. Lineage: Eukaryota; Metazoa; Arthropoda; Insecta; Lepidoptera; Erebidae.
CUGUAUAAAAUACAUAUGCCACAUUGCGUGAAAUUAUAUAUACGUUCACACGUAUACUAUAAUAUAGCGCAUAUGACGGUUCCGUGAUAUAUCAUGUUACACGACGCUCGGUCGUCGUAUAUCUAUGUAUAUUGCGGUCCGUUUAAAUAUUGUCUAACGACACACGUUGAUUAUAUAAUUUAUAUAUCAUACGACAAUGUUAGAGAUUAUUAUAUAAUAUUUGUCGAACGAUCGACGGUGUUACCGCUGAUGCGCUUCGCGGCGUAAGGCGGGACGCUUUCGACUCUUCGAGAGUUAGUUAGGUGUUAUGUAACAAUAUCACCCGCGUACACGAGAGGGUUGAUGGCGUGUGCAUGUUUUUUUUUUUUUUUUUUUUUUCUAUUGAAAGAAAUAAAAUUAAACUAGUGUUCAACACCGUUCACAUAUCGCGAGACACAUGAAUAUUAUCAAUCUCUAUUUUAUAACAAUUGACGUAUACACAAUGAUAUAUAUAAGACUUAAAUCGUCGACAGUAGGCGGACUCGACGUCCGAAGAGCGCAUCGACGCCGUCGUCGUUAUCGAUCGUUAUUAUUGUAAAAAAUGUAACGUGUCGUGGCGGUUGCGUCGUCGUAACGCUGACGGAUAUCGCGUCUGCCUCAUAUUUUUAUCGUUGGCCUCAGAUCAGGGAGGAUCACCCGCCGAAUUUAAGCAUAUUAGUAAGCGGAGGAAAAGAAACUAACUAGGAUUUCCUUAGUAGCGGCGAGCGAACAGGAAAGAAGCCCAGCACUGAAUCCCGCCGUUGUUCAGGCGGCGGGAGAUGUGGUGUUCGGGAGGUUCCGCUUUCUCGUCGCGAUCGCUCCUGUCCAAGUUCGUCUUGAACGGGGCCGUUUUCCCGUAGAGGGUGCCAGGCCCGUAGCGACGGAGGAUCGCGGCGAGAGGGACUCUCCUUAGAGUCGGGUUGCUUGAGAGUGCAGCCCUAAGUGGGUGGUAA